AGUGGGUGCUGAAUGAGCCGUAUUGUGUCACAUUAGACACAACAACAAACCUCUCAUUGAACUGAUGUUUGCCAUGAUUAAUGCACCAGUGGUUUGCAGUGCUGCACGAACACGCACAUGCACACACACACACAGACACACACACACACACAAUGUAAACUCCUGCAGCACUUCAGAAGGAGAGGGAGAAUGCCUUCACACUGGUAUUCCUGAUCAGGUAACAGAAUGCCGGAGUGAGGGCUGCUGGCGUGAUUCUGCUAUUAGGCUGUGAAUCUGAUCUGAUGAGGCAGGGUUUUGGCUUGACACUGUGUGUAAAGGUCAGGUUACAGUCUGUGGGAUUCAGGUUUUCCCCACUGCAGGCAUGGAGUAGAGGGCAGGGUUACUGGAUUACCAGCAGUUUUACUGUCCCAGUCUCUCUCUCAGACACACACUCACACACACACUCAGCGCUGGGCUGGGGCAGGCUGUAAUGUGCAGUGUGGAAGAUGAUGAUGAUGAUGAUGAUGAUGAGCGUGUUUGGGCUGGUCCUGAGAGGCCGGGCUGUAGGGAGUCUCCUCCAGACGCUCUGAGAUCUCCGGCAGACUCUCCGCUCUGCUGGACAGAAGCUCUGCACUGAGACUGAGAUCAGCGCUUCAGUGUCAUCUCCAGCUCCUCAGACCCUGAAAAGGAUUUCUGGAGGCUUUUCAAAGGAAGAGAAUCAUCUGAGAGAUUAGUGAAGCAAUAUUGUGACAAUGACCUGCAGAGCUGUUUCAUUUUCAUUAUUUAAAAUCACGACUUCGUUGGAACUGAUUUGCAUUUCUGGUGGGUGAUUGUUAAGGAUUGUGUGAAGUUUCUGUGACUGAGACAGUAUAUGAUCUUUACCCCGGUCACCCCAUCUCUUCUAACAUUUAUAAAUGCCAACUGUGUCAUUUAGAAAUACCAACAUGCCGAACGCAGGGCUUAGGCAAAAUGUUGAAAUUACCAAAGCUCUUUACUCGGAGUAAAUCUCCCAGCUUUACUCCACAUUAAACUGCACAUCUGCAGAACUGACACUUUUUAUUUUAGCGAUUGAUCUUCAAAUCUCCUUAAGAGUUAGAAUGACUGUGAUUAGAGGAAAAAACGGGUUUCAAAAAAUAUAAUGGAGUCAUAAUAAUGGGGAAAUUAUGUAAAAUAUGUAUAAGAAUUUGGAUUUGACACUUUAAUUGCUGUUUAAAUACAUAACUUACAUUACACAGCUUACGUUCAACAAAGUAUCAGUUUAUAACUUUAUACCCAACUAUAACUAUAUGGUGACUCUAAAACCAUAUAGUUAUAGUUGCCACCAAAAAAAGUCACACUCGAAUAUUUGGUUGGAGCACCUUUAUCUUUGAUUGCGGCACAUAUUCGCUGUGGCAUUGUUUCAAUAAGCUUCUGCAAUGUCACAAGAUUUAUUUCAAUCCAGUGUUGCAUUAAUUCUUCACCAAUAUCUUUGAUUGAUGAUGGUAGAGAGUCUGACCGCUGCACAAAGCAGCGCUUCUCCAGCACAUCCCAAAGAUUCUCAAUGGGGUUAAGAUCUGGACUCUGUGGUGAACUCUCUCAAUCCUUGUGUGAAAAUGAUGAUCUCAUGCUCCCUGAUUCACUCUUUCACAAGUCCAGCCCCAUGAAUCCUGACAUGGUCAUCUUGGAAUAACCAAGAAAAAAAAUCUAUUGUUGGAAUAACCUGGGGCCUCAUGUACUAAAGGUGCGUACGCACAAAAACAUUGCGUACGCCAUAUUUCACGCUCACGGUCUGAUGUACUAAAUUUGACUUGAACGUGUGAAAGUGCGUUCCCCCACGGAAGUUUUGUUUUGGGCGUACGCCUUUUUUUUGUGCGUAUGUAUUGUGUUUUUGUCAUUUGGCGACACUUAGAGGCGAUGCAUUGAAAUUACAUCUAUUAAGAUAUCCUUUAUGCACACAUUGAAGUAAGCAUUAUUGGGUAAAAUAAAGUAAAUUAAUCAGACAGUUUCAUUGUCUUACAGAAAUAAUCGUUUAACGUGUUUCCACUUAGCCUAGAUCAGGUUUGCGCUGGAGUUGUUGGAGAUGCAGCGUUGGCAUUACUGGAAAAUACUGCUAAUGGCCGAAUACAUUGAGCGCGCAUUUUCCGUGACCAUUAUGUUUUUUUGGCCCAUGAUGAUGACUGGCUUAUAAGCAGUUUUAGAUUUCCAAGAGCAUAAGAAAACAAGCUGAGUGCGUGACGUGUGUCUUUUUGGUAGGCAACUCAUUUAAAGCAUUUAAAUGAAAGCAUUUAUCUUAGAAUAAUAAAACUUAAAACAUGGGUAAUUAUACGCUAUGCGUAUAUAAUAUUAUUAUUAUUAUUAUUAUUAAUAAUAAUAAUAAUAAUAAUAAUAAUAAUAAUAUUAUUAUUAAUAAUAAUAAUAAUAAUAAUAAUAAUAAUAAUAAUAAUAAUAUAACAUUAUACUCUGCGUAAUUGAGGGAGGAGUCGUGGCAAGUGUGCUGCUUUCGUGCAUUUGCGCUUGAUUUCAAGUUGAUUGUGAUGUACUAAGAGAAAGUACGUGGGAUUCUGCCUACGCACGGUUUGAUAAAUCCGGAUUUUUUUGUGCGUACGGAACUUUUCAGAUCUGAGCGUACGGAACAUUUUAGUAGGAAGUCCACGCAAGUCUUAGUACAUGAGGCCCCUGGUCUAUAUUCAGUAUAUUCAGGUAGUCAGCUGAUCUCAUUCUUUCAGCACAUACUGUUGCUGAAUCUAGACCUGCAGACCAACUGCAGCAUCAACCCCACAUCAUUUACUUACUUAAAUCCAGGUGGAGACUUUUUUUUUCAUCUCCUAAAAUCAAAACAUAAUUCAACUCUGAUUCAACUUUAAUAAAAUGAUUAAACCAUGAAUAAAUACUGAAAUGCCGUCUUGGCGUGUAUUGGUUUCUGAACCAUUCUCCACAUGCAGUUAUUGCAUUGCAAAAAUAUGAAAAAUAAAAACAUUAAAAGCUAAGGGUCACUUCUUAUCAUUUAAAGCAAUGCCCCAGGCUUUAAUAUUUAAUAUCAAUGUUGUUUUUUUAACGUUUUGAGAUUUUAAAGCUUAUUUUGGAGCUCUUUGAAGUUUUAAUGGCUUUCUCGCCUCGGCCGCGGCCCGCACACACCUACCCGCUGUGGAGGAGUAAUCUUAUUGGAGGAAAUUAGUUUCUCUCGCUCUUUAUUUCAGGCUCUUAUCUGUGUUGUAUUUUGAGGAGGAGAAACGCACAGCGAGUUCCUGGUUUGGGUGUAGUGGAUAAUUAGGGAAAUACCCAGAGUGAAGCCAAGCAUGGGAGAAACAGGACCUGUGGGUGGGGGUGGUGAAAGUGUGUGUGUGUGUGUGUGUGUGUGUCUGCACACGUUGAGCAUUAUUGUCAUGUUGUGGCUGUGAGGGUUCCUGGCAUUCUGAUUUGUGACCUGUAGAGUAAAAUCACAUUGCCAGGGAUUACCACACUGCCACGGCCCAGCCUACUGCACCAGUACACCAGUACAUCCCAGAGCUGGAGCCAAACUGGGAAACUGGCUGUUUCUGAGCGGGUGCAGAGCUUAGCUGAUUGGUGAACAGCUGUUGGUCUCUCCUUUGUUCACAGUGGCUAAGUUCUUCACCUGGAUAGAAAAUGAGAGAAGGUGCAGCUUCCUCUGCUGGUGGAUCCAUGUCUCAAGCUGUCCAUAACACUGUACUUUCUAACGUUUCUAUUGUUAUUUAUUUUAUUUUAUUUAUUUCCCAACAUUUAGUUCAGCAUGUGCCCCAGUGGAUUCAUUUCUAAGGGGACAUAUGAUGCAAAACUCACUGCCUCUAUAAACAAUUCAAGCCUGAAAAAAAUCCAUCCAUCCAUUUCUGUGAAUCAGCUGAAAAGAUUUGAGAGUGUCAGGAAUCAUUGGGAUGUCACAAUAAGGAAACACCUGCAAAGAACCACCCUGGUACCACCCCUCACCCAUCAAUCCCCACCAGAGCCCCACCAACUGGUUCAGUUGAAUUAUCCAUAAUUCCGGUAAUUUUGGUUGAGAACCUCAGACAAAACACAGCAGAAUUAGCCAGCAGACUUCUUCUGAGGGAGGAAUCUGUACCUACUGUCCGUGGAUAGUCAGCAGAACUAGCAAGCAUGAACUAGCUUGUUUGUGUUUUUCCAUUUAGCACAAGCUAACAUUAACGCAAUGUAAACAUUAAGCAUUAGCACUUUCUCACAUGGAUUGUUCACCACAGAGUGGUGAGAAACUUUGAGAAACUUUGGGAUGUGCUGGAGAAGCGCUGCUUUGUGCAACAGUCAGACUCUACCAUCAUCAAUGCUGCAAGAUCUUGGUGAAAAAUGAAUGCAACACAUUAAAUUUCACAAAAUUCUAAUCUGUGCCUUUUUAAAUUUGGCAAUGUGAACAUAAUUAGCCGAGGUACUCAGUGCAUCUAAUGUUACCAAAUGUUCCCAAGCUGUUUGUAAUUACACAUUUACACCACAGAGGGCUCCAAAUUCCAGCAUUUACUGCCACUGUAAAUCUACUGCUCUGAUCUCAUGAGGCAACAACAGCCUCAGUCUGGAAAGGAGAAAACAGAUGCAUCUAUUUCAUAACGCAAAGCUUGUGACAUCUGGCUGACAACAAAUGUUUGCCUCUUGAACAGAGGGACGUCUGCCAGCUGUAAACAGAUCCAUAUGUGAAAAUGUGCUGAAACGCACAGCACUGUUCUAUAUUUCCUAUUUUACUAUGUUUCAGUUUAAGUGGAUUCUCUAUUAAGCUUCAGGUUAAAUUGAGUUUGAGCUUAAGCAGUUUAUAGCUGUUAUUGCUAAAAAAAUGAAGAAAUAAAGUGGGUAUAGAUUAUGUGCUUUAUACAUAUUGAAUGAUGGGAUAUUGAAUAUUGAAUGUGUCUUUUAUGUGUUUGUUAUGAAAUAUUAAGAAAUGCAAUUACAACCCCAAAUUGGAAAAAGUUGUGACAGUAAGGAAAAGGCAAAAAAGAAAAAAACGUUUUUUUUUAAAUGUUUAUUUAAUUGCAGACAGUGUGAACUCAAUAUUUUUUUAUGUUUUGUCUACACACUAAGAAAAAUAAGUACAGAUUUGUGCUUAAAAAAAGUACAAAGCUUGCCGCUGGGCAAAGAGGACAGAGGACCUUUCAGUGAAAGGCUUUUUUUUUGUAGCCAUGUUUUUUUUUUUUUAACCAGUAAAUAUUCUAAAGCUUAUAAACAUUAUUAUCAACUAAAUAUGUGUCAAGAACUUAAUGAUCCCAAAUUGUCUGGCUUUCAAAUAAAAAAAAAUGAAUUACUAUACAUAUUGUUUAUUAGUACAGUGAUAAAGAAUAACAGAUGUCCAUUUUGGCUGGUUAAAUGGUACAAAUCUUUACAUCCACCUGUUAGGAAAGACUGUACUACAGAGGGAACAUAUCUGACCCUGUAAAGACCAAUAUUAUACCUUUAAGAGUACAAUUAUGAAAAGUUUACCUUUCACUACAAGAAAGUACUUUUAUCGUACCUCUGUUUUUUAGUGUAUACUCAACUUCAUUUCAUUUAUAGCAUAAUAUACACUGUUGGUCACUACUGGUUUUAGAACACCCACUUUUUCCCUUUAUUUUUACCAUUUAAGCUUUUCAUUUCCAGUCAAUAACUAGAACUGGUGCACAACCCAUUUUUUUAAGGUGCAUGUUGUAGCUAGCUGGUUAUGUUUGAUCAAUAAGCAUAUAUUCUGUAAUUCCUACAUAGACUGCGUUAUAAUAAUGAUAUUAUUUUAUUUAGCUAUAAAUAUACUUGUGAUUGUGUAUAAAAUGUGUUAUUGAUAUAAACACAGACGCUGUGCUGAGGUUCAGUGUUUGGACUGAUGGUCAGGACCUGGUCUCCUGUGCCUUCUGAGCUGAUAUCAGUUGUACUGAAACACUGGCUCAGUUCAGCAGGAACAGGAGCUCGGCCCCCAAAACCAGACUGACAGCUCUCAGCUCAGCAACAUACAGGAUCUGCACUGACCUACAGCAGUCUCAGAAUCAAACUGCUGAUAUAAUCUCUCUAUAUACUGAAUAUACUUUACUGUUCUGAUCUUGUAUGUUUGUUUAAUAAUAAAAAAAAAAACACUUGAAAGCUUUUUUACAUA
Molecule: long non-coding RNA, 6028 nt
Organism: Astyanax mexicanus (Mexican tetra)
Lineage: Eukaryota; Metazoa; Chordata; Actinopteri; Characiformes; Acestrorhamphidae
Exons: 4
Source: RefSeq, a predicted model, not a curated record